Molecule: ribosomal RNA, 876 nt
Filed under: Escherichia coli
Lineage: Bacteria; Pseudomonadati; Pseudomonadota; Gammaproteobacteria; Enterobacterales; Enterobacteriaceae
Description: bacterial SSU rRNA
Rfam family: Bacterial small subunit ribosomal RNA (bases 239-876)
Source: RNAcentral
AGCGUUCUUUGAAGUGCUCACACAGAUUGUCUGAUAGAAAGUGAAAAGCAAGGCGUCUUGCGAAGCAGACUGAUACGUCCCCUUCGUCUAGAGGCCCAGGACACCGCCCUUUCACGGCGGUAACAGGGGUUCGAAUCCCCUAGGGGACGCCACUUGCUGGUUUGUGAGUGAAAGUCACCUGCCUUAAUAUCUCAAAACUCAUCUUCGGGUGAUGUUUGAGAUAUUUGCUCUUUAAAAAUCUGGAUCAAGCUGAAAAUUGAAACACUGAACAACGAAAGUUGUUCGUGAGUCUCUCAAAUUUUCGCAACACGAUGAUGAAUCGAAAGAAACAUCUUCGGGUNCAUCCACAGAACUUUCCAGAGAUGGAUUGGUGCCUUCGGGAACUGUGAGACAGGUGCUGCAUGGCUGUCGUCAGCUCGUGUUGUGAAAUGUUGGGUUAAGUCCCGCAACGAGCGCAACCCUUAUCCUUUGUUGCCAGCGGUCCGGCCGGGAACUCAAAGGAGACUGCCAGUGAUAAACUGGAGGAAGGUGGGGAUGACGUCAAGUCAUCAUGGCCCUUACGACCAGGGCUACACACGUGCUACAAUGGCGCAUACAAAGAGAAGCGACCUCGCGAGAGCAAGCGGACCUCAUAAAGUGCGUCGUAGUCCGGAUUGGAGUCUGCAACUCGACUCCAUGAAGUCGGAAUCGCUAGUAAUCGUGGAUCAGAAUGCCACGGUGAAUACGUUCCCGGGCCUUGUACACACCGCCCGUCACACCAUGGGAGUGGGUUGCAAAAGAAGUAGGUAGCUUAACCUUCGGGAGGGCGCUUACCACUUUGUGAUUCAUGACUGGGGUGAAGUCGUAACAAGGUAACCGUAGGGGAACCUGCGGUUG